GACGAACCCGACAAUCGUUAUUCGGAAUUACUGGGCUUAAAGGGUGCGUAGGCGGUGCGGUAAGUGCGGUGUGAAAGCCCACGGCUCAACCGUGGAAUUGCGCUGCAUACUGCCGUGCUGGAGGGAGACAGGGGUAAGCGGAACUGAUGGUGGAGCGGUGAAAUGCGUUGAUAUCAUCAGGAACACCGGUGGCGAAAGCGGCUUACUGGGUCUCUUCUGACGCUGUGGCACGAAAGCUAGGGUAGCGAACGGG
Molecule: ribosomal RNA, 253 nt
Filed under: uncultured bacterium
Lineage: Bacteria
Description: partial 16S ribosomal RNA
Rfam family: Bacterial small subunit ribosomal RNA
Source: RNAcentral